ACCUACGGGGGGCAACAGUGGGGAAUAUUGCACAAUGGGGGGAACCCUGAUGCAGCGACGCCGCGUGAAGGAUGAAGUAUUUCGGUACGUAAACUUCUAUCAGCAGGGAAGAAAAUGACGGUACCUGACUAAGAAGCCCCGGCUAACUACGUGCCAGCAGCCGCGGUAAUACGUAGGUGGCAAGCGUUGUCCGGAAUUACUGGGUGUAAAGGGAGCGCAGGCGGGAAGCCAAGUCAGCUGUGAAAACUACGGGCUUAACCUGUAGACUGCAGUUGAAACUGGUUUUCUUGAGUGAAGUAGAGGGU
RNAcentral lists this ribosomal RNA (305 nucleotides) under uncultured bacterium. RNAcentral's name for it is "bacterial SSU rRNA". It matches the Rfam family "Bacterial small subunit ribosomal RNA", at positions 337 to 659 of the family's 1533-position model. The record is from RNAcentral.